CUUCAUUACUUUUUUUUUCCUUUUUGUUCCUUAUACUAAAUACUUUCAACUAUCCUAUCUUUGGAUUUUCUGAUCCUUUCUGCUUCCUGUUCAAAUAUGCUAUUGAGCACUUAUCAAUGAAAGUAGCAAUCAGAAAUAACACGUAACCUCAAUAUUUGGAGAACCAUGUCCUCAAUGCUAACCUUGGCUCUAGAAAGCUACAUUAAGAACACAGACAGCAGUCCCUUGGCUCCCUACUAUAAUGAGGUGUGAAGAUGGUAGCCACUGCUGAAUAGGAAAGCUAAAGCUCACUGAGAUCAACUUUUCACCUAGACUCCAGAGUAUCAAAUUAUUUACUUUAGAGAGUUUCUGUCAGUUCAAUAGUUGUUUAAGUGGAGGUAGAGAUUCCAGGAGCUUUCUACUCUGCCGUCUUCUCUGACAUCACUCUUGCUUGAUAUAUUUUGAAGUGGAGUUAUUAACUUUAUAGUUAUUAACUUUAUAGAGCUUUAAAAUUCUUUCCACCUCUAAUUUUAAAAUCCCUAUUUUCACAGUUCUUACAAGUCACAGAAGGCAUUGGCUUACUCUCUGAUCAUUGUCCUGCUGUGAAUGUUAAGGUAAUUAUAGAUGCCAUUCAGCAGAAUGUAGCAACUGCUGGGUUUCUCUCUUCUUAUGCAUAUGGAGGUUCCCAGGCUAGGGGUCUAAUCAGAGUUGUAGCCACCAGCCUAUGCCAGAGCCACAGCAAUGUGGGAUCCGAGCAGCGUCUGUGACCUACACCACAGCUCAUGACAAUGCCAGAUCCUUAACCCACUGAGCAAGGCUAAGGACUGAACUUGCAAUGUUAUGGUUCCUAGUCAGAUUCAUUAACCACUGAGCCAUGACAGGAAUUCCCAUGAGGGCAGUUGUUUUCCAUGUAACCACAGCUCUCUGAUUCUCUGAUUGAUUUAAGGAGAUAAUGUUGAUUUUUAGUUUUUUCAGCCUUUUUUUUUUUUCCUGUAUAGAUGGGAGCAAUGAUUUCUAUGCCUCUUAUUUCCUACCGGACAUCUGAAGUCUUUGAAGUCUUUUAGAAGGUAGUUUUCUCUGUUAGGUCGUGAUGAUAAAUUUAUAUACCUUACAGAACAGAAUAGAAGUCUCAGGUUAGGUCUCAACUAUAAAAUUUAGAUAUCCAUGAGUAUUUCUGAGUAGAAGAGGAUAGACCAAUCAAAAAACCUUAUUGGGAGGUGGGCACUGAUUUGAAAAAGGCCAAAGGCAAAAAAAGUUGUGUUAAAAAAGGAAGGAUGAUUAAUAAAAAUCUUUUGUCAUUUAAUGGUAAGCUUCAUCUGGGACAGAGCCUUGUCUUUUUGCUUGCCAUUGUACCACCAGAAUCUAGGUCAGUGCCUAUGAAUAGAAAGUAUUCAACAAACACCCAACAAAUGGGUGAUUAUGGUUCAAUGUAAGUGGAAUUAGCACACCACAUAGUGUCUCCCCUACUAAAUGUAAAUAUCAAAUCUGGACAGAAUGCAUCCAACAGCUACUUAAAGACUCUAAAAACUAUCUAGUAGGAGCUACCAUUGUGGUACAGUGGAAAUGAGUCUGACCAGUAUCCAUGAGGAUGCAGGUUCGAUCCCUGGCCUCACCCAGUUGGCCGGGAAUCUGGUAUUGCCGUGAGCUGUGGUGUAGAUCGCAGAUGUGGCUCAUAUUCCAAGUUGCUAUGGCUGUGGCAUAGGCUGGCAGCAGUAGCUCUGAUUUCACCCCUAGCUUGGGAACUUAUAUAUGCCUCAGGUGUGGGCCUAAAAAGCAAAUAAAUAAAAGAAAAACUAUCUAGUAGAAGGAAUCAUAUUGAGAACACCAGAAUUCAAGUUACCACCAAAUCAACCAGUGUUGAAUUUACAUCUCCUCCAACCUGCAGUAUCGGUACCCAGAAUACAACAUACCUAGAAACCUGUAUUGAGCAUCCCUUAGGGCAGAGACAGAGAGAGCUCCAGGAGAGGCAGUCUAGCUCUGGUUUGAGUAGGAAAAUGAGCUCCUAACACAGAGGGAGAAUAUGAAAAUACUCCAUUCUCUUCUGGUAUGCCUCAGACCUCAGGCAAUCUCAAGAUGGCAGGGCUGUGGCAACUAUGACACCUAAUAGCUGAAAUCCUGAGGGAGGUGAACCAUCCUCUCCAUUUGAUACAGCUGUGAUUCUAAGAAGGUGGACCAAACCCUUUGCUUUUUCUUUCCUCCUUGCUCUCUUUCCUCCUGCUUCACUGUCUUACAGAUGCAGCCACCAUUGAGAAGUCCAUAGUAGAGUGAGGAAAUUACAGUCACAAAUUUCUGGCUGGAGGCUAGAAAAAAGAAGCAUGGCUUUGAGUAUAUUUACACAAGGAUUUUCACAAAAGAUAUAAUUCUUUUAUACAAAACAAUUUAGUGGUAUCUAAUAGCAUAAUUAAUAAGAACUCCUCAGACGUAUGUCCAUGCUAAUCUAGCAGGAAUCUAGCUAGUUAAAACAGGUACAUGGACUCAGAGGUAAAUGAAUGAAGAGGAAGGAACUUUGUAAAGACAACUCUGAAUCUUAUUAGUAAACUUCUGGACUCCCCACCACCCCCAAACAGACAUAAACACAUACACACAUACAAGCUGUGCAUACUUACACCUUACCCCAAUUAAGGUACCAAAGACAUGAAACAUAAACUCUUCACAAUGGAACAUUGCCCAAAUUUCAGAUUGGCCACUGGUUGAUGCACUUGCAAGAAAUAUCUACUAAGUGAAGUAAGUCAGACAAAGACAAAUAUCAUAUGAUAUCAAUUAUAUAUGGAAUGUAGUAAAAAUGACACAAAAGGAUGUAUUUAUGAAACAGAAACAAACACAGAUUUUGAAAUCAAACCUAGGGUGACCCCAAGGGGAACCGUGGUGGGGAGAGAUAUAUUGAGAGGAUGGGAUUAACACAUAUACAGUACUAAUAUAAAAUAGAUAGAUAACUAACAAGGACCUACUGAGUAGCACAGGAAGUUCUACUCAACGUUCCGUAAUAACUUUUUUCCAAUUUAUGGAAAAAAGUAUGGAUAUAUGUAUAUGUAUAACGGAUUCAUUUCACUGUACACCUGAAACUAAUACAACACUGUAAAUAAAAAUUUAU
RNAcentral lists this long non-coding RNA (3070 nucleotides) under Sus scrofa (pig). RNAcentral's name for it is "lncRNA (ENSSSCG00000047578.2)". Lineage: Eukaryota; Metazoa; Chordata; Mammalia; Artiodactyla; Suidae. The record is from RNAcentral.